UCACGUGAGCUGACUGUCAAGAAAAGCCGCUAUUGUUUGCAGGAUACCCGUACCGUAAACCGACACAGGUGGAUGAGGAGAGAAUCCUAAGGCCGACGGGAGAAGCAUUGUUAAGGAACUCGGCAAAAUGACUCCGUAACUUCGGGAGAAGGAGUGCCAGUAAGAUGGCCGCAGAGAAUUGGCCCAAGCAACUGUUUAGCAAAAACACAGGUCUAUGCAAAACCGAAAGGUGAGGUAUAUGGGCUGACGCCUGCCCGGUGCUGGAAGGUUAAGGGGAGAGGUUAGCGCAAGCGAAGCUUUGAACUUAAGCCCCAGUAAACGGCGGCCGUAACGAUAACGGUCCUAAGGUAGCGAAAUUCCUUGUCGGGUAAGUUCCGACCCGCACGAAAGGCGUAAUGAUUUGGGCACUGUCUCAACAAUGCACCCGGUGAAAUUGAAAUACCAGUGAAGAUGCUGGUUACCUGCGCCAGGACGGAAAGACCCCAUGGAGCUUUACUCCAGCUUGAUACUGGGAUUCGGUAUUGCAUGUACAGGAUAGGUGGGAGGCUAGGAAAUGGUAACGCCAGUUGCCAUGGAGCCAAUGUUGGGAUACCACCCUUGCAGUACUGGGUUUCUAACCAGCAGCCGUGAUCCGGCUGGGGGACAAUGUCAGGUGGGGAGUUUGACUGGGGCGGUCGCCUCCGAAAGGGUAUCGGAGGCGCUCAAAGGUUCCCUCAGAAUGGUUGGAAACCAUUCGAAGAGUGCAAAGGCAGAAGGGAGCUUGACUGCGACACCGACGGGUGGAGCAGGUACGAAAGUAGGACUUAGUGAUCCGGUGGUAUAAAGUGGGAUUGCCAUCGCUCAACGGAUAAAAGCUACCCUGGGAUAACAGGCUUAUCACUCCCAAGAGUUCACAUCGACGGAGUGGUUUGGCACCUCGAUGUCGGCUCAUCGCAUCCUGGGGCUGAAGUAGGUCCCAAGGGUUGGGCUGUUCGCCCAUUAAAGCGGUACGCGAGCUGGGUUCAGAACGUCGUGAGACAGUUCGGUCCCUAUCCGGCGUGGGCGUAAGAUAUUUGAGAGGAGCUGUCCUUAGUACGAGAGGACCGGGAUGGACUGGCCGCUGGUGUAUCUGUUGUCUUACCAUAGGCAUAGCAGAGUAGCCAAGCCGGGAAGGGAUAAACGCUGAAGGCAUCUAAGCGUGAAGCCCCCCUCAAGAUGAGAUAUCUCAUAACGUCAAGUUAGUAAGACCCCUUGAAGACGACGAGGUAGAUAGGGCAGAGGUGGAAGUGUGGUAACACAUGGAGCUGACUGUUACUAAUAGGUCGAGGGCAUAACCAG
RNAcentral lists this ribosomal RNA (1317 nucleotides) under metagenome. RNAcentral's name for it is "bacterial LSU rRNA". It matches the Rfam family "Bacterial large subunit ribosomal RNA", at positions 1592 to 2925 of the family's 2925-position model. The record is from RNAcentral.